UAAGGAAUCUUUCGCAAUGGGGGAAACCCUGACGAAGCAACACCGCGUGGAGGAUGAAGGCGUUUUCGUUGUAAACUCCUUUUUUGAGGGAAUAAUCUUGAAGGUACCUCAAGAAUAAGCAUCGGCUAACUACGUGCCAGCAGCCGCGGUAAUACGUAGGGACCAAGCGUUGUUCGGAUUUACUGGGCGUAAAGGGCGCGUAGGCGGCAAUUCAAGUCAUCUGUGAAAUCUCCGGGCUUAACUCGGAACGGUCAGAUGAUACUGCUUUGCUAGAGUGCAGAAGGGGCAAUCGGAAUUCUUGGUGUAGCGGUGAAAUGCGUAGAUAUCAAGAGGAACACCUGAGGUGAAGACGGGUUGCUGGGCUGACACUGACGCUGAGGCGCGAAAGCCAGGGGAGCAAACGGGAUUAGAUACCCCAGUAGUCCCUGAGCGGGCUGGCAAGGCGCAU
RNAcentral lists this ribosomal RNA (448 nucleotides) under uncultured bacterium. RNAcentral describes it as "bacterial SSU rRNA". It matches the Rfam family "Bacterial small subunit ribosomal RNA", at positions 355 to 825 of the family's 1533-position model. The record is from RNAcentral.